GAUGAACGCUGGCGGCGUGCUUAACACAUGCAAGUCUAACGAUGAAGCCCAGCUUGCUGGGUGGAUUAGUGGCGAACGGGUGAGUAACACGUGAGUAACCUGCCCUUAACUCUGGGAUAAGCCUGGGAAACUGGGUCUAAUACCGGAUAGGAGCGCCUACCGCAUGGUGGGUGUUGGAAAGAUUUAUCGGUUUUGGAUGGACUCGCGGCCUAUCAGCUUGUUGGUGAGGUAAUGGCUCACCAAGGCGACGACGGGUAGCCGGCCUGAGAGGGUGACCGGCCACACUAGGACUGAGACACGGCCCAGACUCCUACGGGAGGCAGCAGUGGGGAAUAUUGCACAAUGGGCGAAAGCCUGAUGCAGCGACGCCGCGUGAGGGAUGACGGCCUUCGGGUUGUAAACCUCUUUCAGUAGGGAAGAAGCGAAAGUGACGGUACCUGCAGAAGAAGCACCGGCUAACUACGUG
This 466-nucleotide ribosomal RNA is filed under the name uncultured bacterium. RNAcentral's name for it is "partial 16S ribosomal RNA". It matches the Rfam family "Bacterial small subunit ribosomal RNA", at positions 28 to 507 of the family's 1533-position model. The record is from RNAcentral.